This is an RNA transcript of Aethina tumida (small hive beetle), 3885 nucleotides long. It is a transcript of the gene named sulfhydryl oxidase 1-like, with no coding region annotated. The transcript has 2 exons. The record is from RefSeq and is a predicted model, not a curated record. Lineage: Eukaryota; Metazoa; Arthropoda; Insecta; Coleoptera; Nitidulidae.
AAUCGCGCAGCAACCACACCACUUCCGCGCUGUUGACGUGACCUGUCAAAAUACAUAACCUCAGUGAUAGUUGUCGGCCAAUAUGUUUAAAUUGUUAUUGCAAUUAAUUUUCGUGGUGGUCUUCCUCGAGUACACAGACAAUGCGGCGGUGGACAUGUUCAAGAACAAUUUCAAGACACAAAACGACCAAGUGGUCGGUUUGUAUUCGAUUACGGACGAUGUGGAGAUUUUAACGAUACACAACUUCAAAAGCUCAGUGUAUGGUAGUAAAAACGCGUGGCUGAUCGAGUUUUACAACAGCUACUGUGGUUUUUGUCAGAGAUUUGCGCCUUCUUGGAAGGAGUUUGCGACGACAGUCAAAGAUUGGAAGAACCGAGUCGCUGUUGGAGCCAUCGACUGCGCUAACGAAGAAAACAACCCGCUUUGCCGCGAAUUUGAAAUUAUGGGAUACCCAACUUUGAGGUAUUUCCACGAACAAUACAUCGAGGGGCCGAAAAAUUUAGGUAUACAGGUCAGUGCUAAAGGGGGAGCCGAUGAUCAUAAAGUAACAUUGUUGGAGACCAUUGUGGCUGAGCAAAAAGAAGGCAGAGGUAAACAGUAUCCGGAUAUUUCUCCCUAUUUGAGCAAACAUACGGACGAACUUUUUACUGAUGUUAAUGUAAAAUAUGUGUUUUUGGUGGUGCAAGAACCUGGUUCAAUUGUUGGGCAAACCAUUGCCUUGGACUUGGCACAAAAUCCAAACGUGCGAAUCAGGUAUGCCACCAAAGAAAACACUGACUUGUUGAAUAGUUUGAACAUUCAAAAUGUCCCUGCUGUUGUUGUCUUUGAUAGUAACAGAAACAGAGAGGUUUUAACAAUUUUGGACAACCCAAAGAACACCAUUCUAGAUUAUCUUCAGUCCAAAAACAUUAACGUCAAGAAUAGUCAAAAUUCCAAUGAAGAUAACGUAGAAACCAGAAUCGAACCAGUAGAAGAUGCACAACUGGAAAAAAUAAAAAGAAUGGGCGACGUAGUCUUCCAAAAAGAUUUAGAAACAGCCCUCAGAUACUCACUAAGAAAAGAAGUAUCAAGAACUAAAGAAAUAACAGGUUAUAAACUGGCAGCUUUAAGGAAUUACCUGAGUGUUCUAAUCAAGUACUUCCCGUUCGGAAAAUACGGACAAGCCUUCCUGAUGGAUCUAAAAUAUUACGUGGACGGAAGGGACAUGGUACGGGGAAAAGACAUCUUCGACAAGGUGAAGGCGGCCGAAAAGCUAGACAGUCAAGUGUUUUCGACGCCGGAAGGAUGGAUUGGUUGUCGGGGAAGUACCAAAACAUUCCGCGGCUACCCUUGUGGUCUGUGGAAAAUGUUCCACUACUUAUCCAUGCAACACUACGAGAAAAACCUUCAGAAUCCAGACGCCCAACCGUCGGAAGUGUUGGAAGCCAUGCACGGAUACAUAAAAGAGUUCUUCGGCUGCACCGAUUGUUCUCAGCAUUUCCAGGAGAUGGCCAAAAGAAGGAAAUAUCAGGAAGUAGCCUCGGUAAAGGACGCGGUCCUUUGGCUGUGGUCCGCACAUAACGAGGUGAACAACCGUCUGCACGGCGACGCGACGGAAGACCCAAAAUUCCCCAAGAUCCAGUUUCCAUCUCAACAAAAUUGUCCGCAAUGUCGCCUGAACGACGACUCCUUCGUAGUCCCGGAAGUGUUCAACUACCUGAAAACGAUGUACGGAGUCAAUAACGUCCGUUACAUCGACUCGGACACUAGGAUCCUGCAUUUGGGAUUGGAGGGACCGGUCAGUUCCGGAUCGGCGCCGAAUUUUUUCCAAACGCUUGAUACGAGUAUGUGUUUUAUAAUUUACGUAACCUCAUUUGCAUUGAUACUAUUUUUAAUUAGGCUGUUUUUGAAAAGGGGUUAUAGGAAAAAGGCGUAUGUGCACGAUUUGUUAGGGAAAGUUUGAGAAUUUUAACUUAAAAGGUAUGAAUUGGACAUUGCUGCGUUUAAUGUUCAAGGUUUUAUUUGGAAAACUGCCAUUUAUCUUGGUUACUUAUGUAUAUAUUUAAUUGUUCGACUACAAUUAUGCAAUCGUUGAUGAUUCUACCUAUGAAUUAAUAACGAGUUGGAGAUGCAUCAUUAAAAUUAAAAUUCUUUGUGUAAUUUUCAGGAUAAAUGUAUAUAUUGUUUAAUCUUGCAAUAUUUAUUUCCAUAAGAAUUUAUAUAGAUUUAAUAUUUAUUAUACUGAUAAGUAUAUGAAGUAUAUUUAUUAGCUAUAUAUUUGAUAAGAAUAACCAAUCAAUUUUAUAGCAUUUGUAUGAAAUUAUAAAGGCUGUGAAUUCAAAUAAGUAGAUGUUUUUUAAUUAACAUUCCUUUUUAAAAUCUAGAAAAUUUAUACAUUAAGAGAAUAUGCUUAAUUAGUCAAGAUUGUGAUAAACAUGUUUUCGUUUCGUAAUAUUUAAUAUUAAUUCGCAGAUAAUGAUUCUUAUUACGUUCACCAACUAUUUAUUGGUACGUUAAGAUAUAAAUUAAAGUACAUAAUUUCGAUAAAACUUAUUAAUAAAAAAUAUUUAUUGUUCUGUGUUUAUUAGAUGGCAUUAAACGUGUAUUAAUUUUAUUUGAGAAAUUAAUGCAUGAUACAAUUUAUGUAUCAUAUUCAUUUAUUUAUUUCAUACUGGUAUUAUGAUGAUGAACAUUAAAUCGCAAUGUUUGUUUCAUGUCGUGUUUGUAUACAUUCCAAAUAUGUAAUUUUUGUUGAUUAUUGUUCUGUUUGUUUAUUAAUUCUAUAACUAAUAAUUAUUUGUCAAUUUUAAAACUGUUUCUUCUUUAUAUGUUUGCAACAUCUCUCUUACUAACAAUAAUUUCAUUUCUUGAAAAUGAUACAUGAAACACUUUUUUAAUAUUUUAUUUCUAUUUUUGUUAAAAGUAAUUUCCACCUAUAUAGAUAUGUUGUUGUAUUUGUUAUCAGAAAAUUUAACUUUCAAAUAUAAAUUUUUACGUAAACUUAUUAGAUCUUUAAAAUAUGUUAAAAUCCGAUUACAAAUUUUAAUUGCAAAUAUUAUUUAAUUUAGUUCUUUAUAAAGCAAAUAAAAACCCAAAUUAGUUGAUAAAAAAAAACAUAAAAUCAUAUGACAAAAGGUUAAUUAUUGUUCCCAAUUCUGUGCUAGUCAAAAAAUUGUGUUUCAUGCUCAGUUUCAAAGCGUAUUACUAACAAUUAAUUAACUGUGUACCCUAAAUCCGUAGAGUUUGUUACACGUCACAUAUAACAUAUAUAACCAAAGCAAAUGCUCAAGAUUAAUGAUCGAUGUACAAGAAUAGAUAAACAAAAAACACAUAUACAUACAUAUAUAUAUAUAUUUUAUUGCAAUUAUGAUAAAACCGUUUAGACUGAUUAUAUUUAAAUAUUUUUUUAUGAAUUGUUAAUCUAUUUUAAAUUAAUAAAAACUGCAUCACUAAUUUGUGUUUUAAAUACACAGACCUCUUCACACAAAUACCUAAUUUCGUUUUGCACAGUUCGGUGUCUUCCGAAUUCUUCUAGGGUUGAUGGUCACUUUUGGACGCAUUUUAUGAUAUUUUAAUGGGAUUGACAAAAGAGUAGUUUUUAUGCUUUGUUCCUGUAGACGCUUCUUCGGAAUACUUUUCCUUAAUACUUAGUUUAGACUAAUAGAAAAACUUAGAAGCCACCCCAAGAGCAAGUAAACCUCAUCACAAUUAUUCCAUUAAUCUUAGUAAUGUAAUUAUUGUAGUUUAGAUUUUCAAGUUUUUACGUUUAUAGAUUAUAUAAUUUUUUAUACUGUUGCAUUUAUAGAGUUAUAUAAAAUUUGUACAUUAUUUAAUCAUUAAAACUCGAAAUUUUUUCCUAUUAUUGACUUAUUAUAUGUGACUAAUAAAUAUUUUUGUGUUUGAUAA